This 383-nucleotide unclassified non-coding RNA is filed under the name Hevea brasiliensis (rubber tree). The record is from RNAcentral. Lineage: Eukaryota; Viridiplantae; Streptophyta; Magnoliopsida; Malpighiales; Euphorbiaceae.
GCUGGCCGUCAAUAAUGUCAUAGAAUACAUAAGGGCCAAGACCCUCACUCUCAUGAAAUGGUGCUGAUUUGCUUGACAUUUCUUCUCCAUUUAGUAGUUUACUAUCAUAAAAAUGCAAGGAGGGAAACCGGCAAAUCUCUGGGUGCAUCCUAUACUGUUUGGUAAGCAUGGUAACUGGAUGACCAGCCCUUUGUAAACGCUCAAACAUGCUACAUUCAUAAAGAAAUUUGCUUGCAACAUUAGAGAGGACUGUUGCAGGAAGCUGCUUUGGGUCACCAACCAUGAUACAUUUUGUCCCAUAUGACUUUAAAAGCUGUAGAGGAAUCAAAGUAGCAGGUUCCAAAGCUUGAGCUGCUUCAUCAAUCACAACAGCAUCAAAAAGG